UGUGCAUAGAGGCAGUAGCAACCUCUUCGAGCUCACGCUUCGACACUUCUCGAUACCAGCUAAGUGUAAAAUUGUCAUAUUGCAUUCAGUGAUGCUGAGAUCAAAAUAAAGGGGCUGCCAAAGGGUGAAGUCAUCAGGAGGCAUGGAGCUGGAGCCCACAAUAACGAGAACAUCCCCAUGAUUGGGGGAAAUAACUGUUUGGGCUUGUUUUCAGAGCAAGGGGAAGACUGAUGGGAAGGCGAGCGAGAGGGAUGAUUACGACUGUCCUUGCCCGAUGACAAAUGGCACUGCAGUGUGCUCGAAAGCAACCGUUUUUUAUCUCCUGGCAUCAAAACACUUUUGGGAUAUCAUCACAGCCAUCAACGUCACCAUUGCUGUCACCACCCUUUCAUUGCCUGUGUUUCCUGCUGUACAUGAUGCUGAUUAUGCUCAAAUAUGAAAUGAGUGCUGCUUCCUAUUCCUAGUCCACAUGGCAAACACGGUGUUGGACAAAUGUUUUGUUUGAAUGUUUUACUGUUAUUUUUAUUGUCUCUUACAUAGUGAUUAUUCUUAUAUUAGUACAUUGUGUUUUGAUUUAGUUUAGACCACUUUUCAGCAUUUUUGUUAUUUUGUUGUAAGGAAUGUAUUACAGCAUAUUUUACAAGCUGAUUUUCAUUUAAUACCGAUUUUAUGCAUAGAGUUACCUCUGUAUCUGCUUUUAAAAUUGUUCCUACCUCUCCACAGUGAAUGAUUUGCUUCACUAACACUAUUAAUAGAUUGUGGUUUUGGCUCUUCUGUCUUACUAGGAAAACAAAAUCAUCAUCUUAUAGCCGGGGCCAGUGCCAUUCCAGCCCUGUUGAGCUCUCAGCUGGGCCACAUUUCUGCUCUGUUGCAGUUCCUGACACACCUGACCCAGAUAAUCCACAUUCAAGAUUGGGAACCUUUGUUACCUUGUACAUCAACAUAUAAGACUGUGCAAAGCAUCUUUUCCUUAAGGCCAAGGUGCUUGUGUAUGCUCUCCUAUGCCUUGAUUUAAAGAGAAGGCAAGGAGCCAGGGUGCUCCGGGCCUUGCUCCUGCAGUAAUGCACAGAGAUCUUGAAAAACUGUCCUCCAACCAAUAUCUGUCAGCUCGAUGAGCCAGUAGACAGAACCAAUUACAUUAAGAACAAGAAUAACACACGGUUUAGGAAAUAAAAACAUUACUAUAAAACGCACUGUAGGAAGGAAGCUUUAAAAAGCUCAUUUGAGGAGGAAUAAUUGCACAGGGUGUUAUUUAUGAAUCCUGGAGUGUCAUGUAAUGGAAUGCUUCCAUUGAUCUACUGCCCUCCACCCACCCACCUACACCACCACUUUAAUAUUUUGCAUUUAAAUUGAAAUAUUUAUCCAUUUAUAUGGCGUAAAUCAUACACCACCAUGUUGGGCAUCGUUUAUCUUUGCUGAGGUUCCUACUGCUUUCCUCCAUGCUUUUUUACUAAACUGCAAUGUUGAAAUUGAGUAAAUUUGAUAACAAACAUAGCAUCUCAGUGUGUGAAGAUGUUAUCUUUAUGCCUGUGCAGGGCCACGCUAAAUUAAUUGCCAUUUUAGAUAUGAUUAUUUUCAUUUCAGGACAGUAUAACUCUAAACCAUUCAGACCCUCAGUAGUGUCUUUGCAAACAGUUAAACAUUCAUAGAUGGAAUUUGGACAUAGUCAGUUUAGAAGUUGGAGAACUGAUAGAAGCAUAUGUAGACAAUCAGUAAUGACACCCAGUAUAGGAUAGUAUAGAUUGCUAGUUCAUAUACUGCUACAUUUACAAAAGUGCCAGAAUGAAUCAUGAAAGCCCCUGAAAAAAUUCUGUAUUAUUUUUAUAGCAAGGAAUGGAAUGCCAUUUUCUUCUCAAAGAUACAAAUACAUGCAAAAGUACCUAAAAGUCUAUAAAUGCUCAUGUUUCUAUUUUAGGAAGGCCACAUAUACCGAAUACUGAACAAUAACUAGGACUUAGGAGACUAUGGUGGUCUUCUGAAGGUUAAUAGAGCAGGUCUCAUGAUCAUGUUGUGUAACUCCCUGGGCUGUGGAGAUGAAAGCAAUGCUCCAGCUCCAUAGAACAUGUUGUAGUCCAAGGCCUCUAGCAAGUUCUCUUCCCCACAUGCGCUCAUUCCACUGCCUGGCAUUUCCACAUGAGGAGAUAGUCAGCUUUAAUCAUUUACCUGUCCUGCCUAUGUCAUUCUUUAAAUUAGACACACUGUGUUGCCACUUUGAAGUCCAAUUUAUGUUUCAUUUUUGUAUGUCUCCUCAUUGACCAUUUACUUAAAAAAUGCAAUAUGCAAAAAAUGGAUGUCCUCCCAAUGAGAUUCUGAUUGGGUUUGAGGAUAUGUAUUUGAAGUGGCUGAAAAUAUGGGUUUCCUGACCUGUGGAUGAUAUAGACAGCAUGCUGAAAUUCACAAACAAGCAGGAACAGUCAUACCAUUAUCACUUAACACUGCAGCAGUGUAUCCAUGGUUCCACAGCCAAAACCCGGAUGUGAAGCCAUGUGGAAAACCGUUCCACCUGGCUCAGUGUACCACUGGCCUCCCUUCCAGCUAGCCUUUCAAUCCUGCUACUUUGUAUGCUUUGAUGUUUCAAUCAUGUUCAACCAACAUAGCCAGUCAGAGGAGGAAAAAAAUGCAGAGCAUAUGUCUGACAACUUCCAAUUUCUUUUUUAAAAACAUGGGGCUAUUUAUAAAACUUCUGGCUGCUCUCCUUGGUGUAGGAGACAGAGCUUCCAUUUCUCUGAUGGAUCGGCUGUCAUAUUUCGACAGUGCAGUGCUUCUUUUAGUUUAUAGACGUCUCCGUGCUCCUGACGCCAGAGUGCGGGUCGUCGUUUUUCUCUCUUAUCGUCCGGCUGCUACUCCCUGCUCCCAGACAUAAACCCCAACAGUCAGCUAGAGAGGAAUAGCACUGCGUUGCAGCUCACCUUUUUAACUUUUCCCAUUUAACUUAGCUCUGUAAGGUUACAAUGUGCGCACGUAUGUGUGUGUGUGUGUGUGUGUGUGUGUGUGUGUGUGUGUGUGUGUGUGUGUGUGUGUGUAAUGUAGAGUGCUUGUCACUGUCUGCCCCACAUAAGAAUUAGAAUGUCCUUUAGGUUGGACUAAGCCAUGUGUUGAUUCUACAUGUCCAUCAUCUGUGGGUAUGUGUUAAAUUUUUAUCUGUGUACAUGUAGGUUUUUUUAAGGAGUGUGUAUGUGUGUGUGUGUGUGUGUGUGUGUGUGUGUGUGUGUAUGUGUGUCUAUAAGACGGUGUGAGACCUAGUGGACAUUGUCUUCCUGGUAAAUCUGGUCCCUCCAGCAGUCCUGAAUGUGAGUGCAGGCUUAUCAGCUCCGUCCAGAGUCUCCCAGACUCCCAGCCACCUCCAUUGCCGGAGAGCAAAAUAAAUUGCACCCAUGCAGUUAAUAAGA
Molecule: long non-coding RNA, 3389 nt
Organism: Electrophorus electricus (electric eel)
Lineage: Eukaryota; Metazoa; Chordata; Actinopteri; Gymnotiformes; Gymnotidae
Source: RefSeq, a predicted model, not a curated record